UGCAUGCAAGUCGAACGCAUCAGUAAUUAGUGGAAAGCCUCUUGAGGCGGGGAAGGGGAGAAAUCUCUGGAGCCGUGGAUGGGGGUCGGAAGCUUGACGCUGGUGAGUGGCGGAUGGGUGAGUAACACGUCGGUGACCUGCCCCAAAGUGGGGAAUAACCGCCCGAAAGGGCAGCUAAUUCCGCAUGUGGUCUAUCGUUCACUCGAUAGAUUAAAGGCGCAAGCCGCUUUGGGAGGGGCUCGCGGCCGAUUAGCUAGUUGGUAGGGUAAUGGCUUACCAAGGCGAUGAUCGGUAGCUGGUCUGAGAGGAUGAUCGGCCACACUGGCACUGACACACGGGCCAGACUCCUACGGGAGGCAGCAGCAAGGAAUAUUGCACAAUGGGCGAAAGCCUGAUGCAGCAACGCCGCGUGGGCGAUGAAGGCCUUCGGGUUGUAAAGUCCCUUUUCUGCGGGAAGAGCAAGGACGGUACCGCAGGAAUAAGUCUCGGCUAACUACGUG
This 500-nucleotide ribosomal RNA is filed under the name uncultured bacterium. RNAcentral's name for it is "bacterial SSU rRNA". It matches the Rfam family "Bacterial small subunit ribosomal RNA", at positions 52 to 507 of the family's 1533-position model. The record is from RNAcentral.